RNAcentral lists this ribosomal RNA (726 nucleotides) under Triticum aestivum (bread wheat). RNAcentral describes it as "partial small subunit ribosomal RNA". The record is from RNAcentral. Lineage: Eukaryota; Viridiplantae; Streptophyta; Magnoliopsida; Poales; Poaceae.
AUGUUCCUCGGGCUCAAUUAUAAGAUCAUCCAACCAAUCAUCGAUCAUAUCACCGGCGAUGAUUACCGUGCUAUGCAACUUCCAUUCGCCAGGAGGAACUGUGUUUACACAUCAUACCAUGGGUUUCAUGAAUCAUCAUAUCCAGAGAUUCGUCGACACAGCUUGUUGCUAGAUAAUCUUCAGUGUGUGAAAGGCAGCAAGCUUCCAUGCGAUGGAUGGCCUUUGCAAACCCGACAUGCGGCGAUGUGGGGUUUUAAAUACCAUAUAACUGGAAUUAACCGAUGCAAGUCCAAGAAGGAUUGGCCGGUGCUGACGGCUAGCGUCAAGUUCGAUCCCAUGGAUCAGGAGCUGAUAGAGCACCUUGAGGCCAAAGUGAGUGCUAACAGCGCGAGAUCUCACCCUCUCAUUGAUUUGUUCAUACCAACCAUCGACAGCGAGCACGACAUAUGCUACACCCAUCCUAAGAAACUUCCAGAGUGCGGCCUGCACACGAUGUGGCACAAGACCGGCAAUACCUUGUCGGUAAUGGUCAACGGCCGGCAGACGGGCAGCAAAAAGGUUCUAGUGCUGCACACCAACAAGAACUUUGACCAGCAAAGGACCAACUGGAUGAUGCACCAGUACCACCUCGGGGACCUGAAGCAAGAGAAGGAGCAGGAGCUGGUUCUCUGCAAUAUUUGCUACCAGACGAACACUAGGGCCAGGACUAAAAAGAUUAUAACUUAG